RNAcentral lists this long non-coding RNA (325 nucleotides) under Elaeis guineensis (African oil palm). RNAcentral's name for it is "long non-coding RNA (EGUI_LNC070792)". The record is from RNAcentral. Lineage: Eukaryota; Viridiplantae; Streptophyta; Magnoliopsida; Arecales; Arecaceae.
UCGCAGCUUGAGUAGCAUUGACAGUAGGUUCUUCAGGUGCCUCAUCCAUAAAGAUAUAUAGAAUUCUCUCGUGCUCCAAGACAAUCUUCAACUUUCGAUACCAGCUAUCAAAGUUGGGUCUGAUGAGCUUGUCGCUAUUGGAGGGUUAAUGUGUUGGCCAUAGCUGAAAGAAAAAAUAUAAGCCUCUUAGUAUAUGAGUUACUUUUUAAUCCCAAAGGCAUUGACUUUAGUCUAAAAGUUCUUUCACUAUUUUGUACGAAUUGGUAGCCUCUACCUCCAAUUCAAAGAAUUACAUUAAUUUCUUAGUGGAUACUAGAAUCCACAC